This 749-nucleotide long non-coding RNA is filed under the name Cricetulus griseus (Chinese hamster). Its description in RNAcentral is "lncRNA (ENSCGRG00000024824.1)". Lineage: Eukaryota; Metazoa; Chordata; Mammalia; Rodentia; Cricetidae. The record is from RNAcentral.
CAUCAUCAUGUUCUUUUCCCUUUCUUCUCCUUCUCUCUUUUUCUCCUCCUCCUCCUCCUCCUCCUCCUCCUCCUCCUCCUCCUCCUCCUCCUCCUCCUCCCUCUUCUAUGAAAAAUGGAAAAAGUUAAAAAAAAAGAGGAAGGGGGUUGAUGGCCACUGUGCCUUGUGUCUGAAUUUCCCAGCAAAGUCACCUUUUCCAGCACUCACAGGCUUUCUGCCUCCACUCUCAGCAAACCAUAUGUUGUCGCUGCUGCUGGCCGCAUCCUGGGGAUGGCUUUUUUCCCCUUCAGCAAGCCUCCAGAAAUGUCACCGAAAUUUAUACGCUUAUUCACAGAGGCGCUAAAGCAGAAAACCGGCUUUUCAGCUAUUUUUGUUUUGCUUUGCAGAUGGGGAGUGAGAACCAUAAAUCUCUCUCUCAUUGGACUCGGGGGGCCCCCCACUCUCUGUUUGGUAUCAGAUGCUGUUCAGCCCAUGGUGGUGAUGUCCAACCCCUGUGUUGUCAUCUUCACAGAGGAGCAAGAAAGUGACCCUAACUCAGUGGCAGUUGCUUGCUACUCAAGGCCCAGAACGUCAAGGGCCCCAUCUUCAGGUGGUCCAUUAGGGUGUUCUGGAGGAGGAAAGAGCUUAUUGAUGGCUUCAGUCUGUUCUUGUCACAGUUGCUUCUCUGUGUGCUGCAUCACAACCUAUGGUCAAACUUUAAUUGUACUCAUGGUCUCAUGGCUAGGAACUGGAGAAGGGCUCUGGAGGCA